UGUGCCUCUCACGGUGGAUUUGCGAAUUUUCAGUGCGGUAACCGACGUAAAAAACCUAAAAAACGUUUAAUCAUAUCCAGCUCGAUGGCCAGGGAAGACGAACCCAUUGCAACGGGGGAUACGAACGAAAAUUCCAAUGGGUCCAACUCCGACACUAACUCGUCGCACACGAAAGAACCGGAUAACGAUGUGCUGGAAACGCGCCGCGGCAAGCGGUUUGAUUUUCUGCUGAAGCAGACGGAGAUUUCCUCCCACUUCAUGCUAUCGGCCUCGGCAAAGGGAUCAUCGAGCCAAGGCGAUGGGCAAACCGGAGAAAGGAGGCGAUAAGGGCGAGAAGCAACCCGCCGCGAGCACCAAUGUCGACCCGGGAGAUCAUCGAAAGACGGAACAGGAAGAAGAUGAGGAGCUGUUGGUGGAAACGAGAACUUAACCAAAAAUGGUGUUCCGCUUUGAAGCGUCCCCGCCGUAUUCAAGGCUGGCGAGAUGCGAGCCUACCAAAUUAGAGGUCUAAACAGGAUGAUAAUUUUGCUGUACGAAUAUGGAAUCAACGGAAUUUUGGCCGAUGUGAUGGGUCUGGGAAAGACGCUGCAGACAAUUUCCCUGAUGGUUUAUUUGAAGAGCUUGCGAAGCAAUCCAGAACUGCACUUUGUUAUCGCUCCCAAAUCGAUGCUACAGAACUGGGUCAACGAGUUUUGACGGUGGCGUCCUUCGUUGCGUGCGGAUUGGUUGAUUGGAGACCAGGAAACUAGGAAAGUAUUCAUCAGGGAUGUGCUGAUGCCUUGGAAAGGCUCGAGGAAAGGCCCAUCGUAUCAAGAAGGAAAAAUCUGUGCUUUCGGAAAUUUUAAGGGAGUUUAAGACGGUUAACCACCUGUUGCUGACGGGAACGCCGCUUCAGAAUAAUUUUCAUUAGUUGUGGCUUUGUUGAAUGUCCUAUUGCCGGAUAUUUUAACAGCGCAGAUGUUGGUUCGAUGCAAAGGAAUGUAUUGGGGAUAAAAACAUAUCGAACGUUUGCAUGCGGUGUUGAAGCCUUCCAGGUCCGUCGAUUGAAAUCGAAAGUAAAUGAGUGGCUGCUGCUGAAAAAGGAGGUCGAAAUCUUUGUUUGACUGUUCAAGAUGCAAUGCGAGUGGUAUACGAAAAUUCUCAUGAAAUAUGUCGACGUUGUGAAUGGAGCUGGUAAGAUGGGAAAGAUUCACCUUCAGAACAUUUUGAUGCAGACACUGAAAACCACGAAAACCGUUCGGUCUAUCAGUUUGAAGGAGACGAUUAUCGUGAGAAAAACAAACUGUACGCUAUUGGAUCCUGGAUUGAACCAGCAAAACGCGAGCGUAAAGCUAACUAUGCAGUUGAUGCGUUCUUCAAAAAGGCUCUCCGGGUGGCCGAACCUAAAGUACCGAAAGCUCUCCGUCCUCCGAAGCAACCAAUCGUUCAAGACUUCCUGUUUUCCCACCGAGGCUAUUUGAGCUGCUCGACCAGGAAAUCUACCACUAUCGUAAAACGGUCAUCUACAAGGUCCCUAAGAACCCGGAACGGGGCAUGGAAGCAACCAAGGUUCAACGGGAGGAACAGCGUAAGAUCGACGAAACGAAUCCCCUUAGCGAUUAAGAGCUGCUCGAGGAAGAGUCGCUCCUGGCGCAAGGCUUCACCAACUGGAACAAACGAGACUUCAAUCAGUUCAUCAAGUCCAAAGGAGAAAACACGGUAAGGC
This is a long non-coding RNA of Armigeres subalbatus, 1705 nucleotides long. RefSeq lists it as uncharacterized. Lineage: Eukaryota; Metazoa; Arthropoda; Insecta; Diptera; Culicidae. The transcript is spliced from 3 exons. The record is from RefSeq and is a predicted model, not a curated record.